This 2717-nucleotide long non-coding RNA is filed under the name Homo sapiens (human). RNAcentral describes it as "long non-coding RNA NONHSAT173411.1". The record is from RNAcentral. Lineage: Eukaryota; Metazoa; Chordata; Mammalia; Primates; Hominidae.
GUGUUUAUUAAGUGCCAGCUGCUAUGAAGAGGGCUUUUUGUGGAUUUCCACAUAAUGCCUACAGCGACCUAUGAAAUUGGCACUGCUGGUAUCUGCAUUUUACAGGUAGAGGAUCCUGGGUGUUUUCACAAAGGAAGACAGAGAGUGGCGUAAAGCGGUGACUUCUCAACUUUCCUGAUGUCACCCCGGUGGCGUGAGCUCAUUAUGCUGAUUACAUGAUUGGCUAGUGGGUUAGGACCUGCAGGGCUGGAGCACCUGAAGACAAUUCACAAACCCAAAGGCAAAGACCCAAAGGCAAGGCACGGUGAGACAAGGGGUGGAAGAAAGCAAGCUGCCCUGACAGUUGAGACAGACACAGAUAAAUAAACAAGAACAAAAGCCCAGGACCACAGGCGGGACACAGGCCUCCCCGCGAGGGGUUUUUGGAGAUUGUUGGGCAACGGAAGCCAGGUGACUCCAGGCCGGGAAGGCUCCAUAGAGGUGGCUGCAUCACCGGGGAGGCACUGACUUUGAACUCAGUGGCAUGAAAGCAUCCCAGAACGUUCAGAUGUGUGCCCAGCCCUGUGGCUCUCACGCAUCUCCUGUGCUAGGGGGACGAUCUGGAUCAGUGCCUGGCCCAUGGAAGACUCCUGACCCAGGCUUGUUCACUGAAUGAAGGCAUUCCACAUGUUCUGUGAUGCGGGCAAGUCAUUCAUUCAUUUAUGCAUUUAGAAUGAGCUUUGAGAAUAUGGCAGCCUACAAAAUGGACAUGGUCCUGCCUUCAGGGAGCUUCUGGUCCAGCCUAUGGCCUCUUGCCUGGAAAGAGAUGUUACCACGUUAUUAGGAGGUAGUGUGGUGUGGGAAGGAAAGACUCAUUGGCAGCUGACUGAGAGACUCGCUUCCCAUUGAGCUUCCCAUCACUGGGACUGUUGAAGCAAAGGUUUCACAAUCUGACUUGAAUUGGGCUCAGGACACAUUGAGCAACCCCGAUCGGUGGCUCACCUGCAAGUCAAGCCUAUGACCAGAGCUUCUUCAUGCCUUAAGUGACGAUUGUGCCCUCUUGGUUGGUCAUGGCUGCAGUGUGAUGAGAACCUGCUUUUCCCCUGAGCUGCCUGGCUGCCUUCAAAACCCUCGAGUGAUCAAGAAAUAACUGCUUCCCAUCAAAAGAUUGCAUGUUGCUGCUACCUGUGUUUAGAGGCAGUUGGUGAUGUUCACACGAGCACCUGAAUGUGAAAAGCCAUGGUGUCUCCUAGUAUUCCAUGCAUCCCGAGGGGCACAAUUAGUGUAAGAAUGCCUCGUCACCUUCUAAAUCCCAAUCAGGUUCCCCAUGCCCCACUCUGAGGUGGAGCUAAAUGCAGAUUAAGAAACCAAAAAUGCCCCCAAAGCUGGGAGCCUUCCACAGGGGCUCUGGAGGGUCUCACUUCUCAGGAAACCCCUUCCUCUGUUGGCCCAGAUUAAGCCUGGGAGUCCAGAGACCAGGGUUCCCUGUCAACCUAUCAGGCUCCUCUGCUGGAGAGAAAGGAUGUUUCCAGGGCCUUGCUUGCCUGAUAGAAUGGAGGCAUCAAAGGUGCAUCCAGAGACAGGACGAUCUUGUUUUGCUUUUUCAAGCCUCUUAACGAUAACAAGGUCAUCACAUGGGCUCUGGCAUCCUCUUGGAUGGGGAAGGGCAACAGCAUCUUGUGGGAAUUGUAGAAAGCCCUCAGUGGAUCCCUCAAGUUCAUUGCCAGGGUUACUCUGCCUCACGCUUCUUCCCGUCAGCCAAUGGGAAGCCCCGCAGGAGACCCCUGGGUGGAAAGAGAGAGGCUACUACUCAAACCUACUCAAAAAUCAAUGCGGACACCCCCAACUUGUAGCCUGGGUUCAAAUUCCAGCUCUAUUACUUCCUUCUAGCUGAGUGAUGUGGGGCCAGUUACUUAACCUCUCUGAGCUUUGGUUUCCUUAUCUGUUUCCUGCUCCUCAGUUGGUCUGGCCACCUCCUGACUGCCUGAUCCCUGCUUCUCUGGGACCACAGCCCUGACCGCUCCCUCUGCAGCCUUGUCUCCUCCUCGGACCCCCCAGCGUUAUUCUCAACAAUCUCACCUACUAGGGAUUAUGCCUUCUGGGGAGAGCAGGCUCACAUACUGGCAGCCCAAGAGACCCAUUUCCCCAUCUUAAGGGAGGCAGGGAUGGACCCUUGCUGUGGGCUGGGGGUGGGUGAUGGGCCAAGGGUGGGUUCAGGACCCUCACUGCUGGGGAGGGGUUGGGGUUGCUCCCCUUCUUUGAGGAGAGCUGUCUGGGCGAGGCACUUAGUUUAGAAGUUUCCAUCUCUUCCCCACCUCCUCUUUAAAAUGAAGACAUUUGGGAGCACAGAAACUUCAGACAGAAGAGUGUAGGGUUCAUCUGUUCAGCCCUCUCAGCUUGCAAAUGAGGCCACUGAAGUCCAGAAACAUCUGCCGAGAAGCGUAGCUGGCAGGUAGCAUUGGGAAGAGGGAGGCUUUUCACCUGCAGAGGUGACAACAGAACAAAACUUUCACGGAGGCCAUGGUAGCUUCAGAGGGGAAAUUUCAAUUACAGCAAGAAAAUGCAUUCAUUUCUAUGCAUUUGGGUCGAUGGAUUUGCCCAUUGAAACCUAUUUGAAAAAUACAUAUAUUUUAAAAUGACAUUAAGAUUAUUUGGAGUUAAAAUAAACCUUGGUAAAUAUUUUCAUGCUCUCUUUUUACCCUGCCGCAAAUAAAAUAUAAUGAGCCCGACGUUUAGAU